This 541-nucleotide ribosomal RNA is filed under the name uncultured eukaryote. Its description in RNAcentral is "SSU rRNA". It matches the Rfam family "Eukaryotic small subunit ribosomal RNA", at positions 202 to 746 of the family's 1831-position model. The record is from RNAcentral.
UGUAUUUAUUAGAUUAAAAACCAAUGCCCUUCGGGGCUCCUUGGUGAUUCAUAAUAACUUAACGAAUCGCAUGGCCUUGUGCCGGCGAUGGUUCAUUCAAAUUUCUGCCCUAUCAACUUUCGAUGGUAGUAUAUGGGACUACCAUGGUUUCAACGGGUAACGGGGAAUUAGGGUUCUAUCCCGGAGAGGGAGCCUGAGAAACGGCUACCACAUCCAAGGAAGGCAGCAGGCGCGCAAAUUACCCAAUCCCGACACGGGGAGGUAGUGACAAUAAAUACUGAUACAGGGCUCUUUUGGGUCUUGUAAUUGGAAUGAGUACAAUUUAAAUCCCUUAACGAGGAACAAUUGGAGGGCAAGUCUGGUGCCAGCAGCCGCGGUAAUACCAGCUCCAAUAGCGUAUAUUAAAGUUGUUGCAGUUAAAAAGCUCGUAGUUGAACCUUGGGCCUGGCUGGCCGGUCCGCCUCACCGCGUGCACUGGUCCGGCCGGGUCUUUCCUCCUGGGGAGCCGCAUGCCCUUCACUGGGUGUGUCGGGGAACCAGG